UACGUAGGUGGCAAGCGUUGUCCGGAAUUAUUGGGCGUAAAGCGCGCGCAGGCGGCCUUUUAAGUCUGAUGUGAAAGCCCCCGGCUCAACCGGGGAAGGUCAUUGGAAACUGAGAGGCUUGAGUACAGAAGAGGAAAGCGGAAUUCCACGUGUAGCGGUGAAAUGCGUAGAGAUGUGGAGGAACACCAGUGGCGAAGGCGGCUUUCUGGUCUGUAACUGACGCUGAGGCGCGAAAGCGUGGGGAGCAAACAGG
This 253-nucleotide ribosomal RNA is filed under the name uncultured bacterium. RNAcentral describes it as "partial 16S ribosomal RNA". It matches the Rfam family "Bacterial small subunit ribosomal RNA", at positions 524 to 776 of the family's 1533-position model. The record is from RNAcentral.